GAUGAACGCUGGCGGCGUGCCUAAUACAUGCAAGUCGAGCGAACAGACGAGGAGCUUGCUCCUCUGACGUUAGCGGCGGACGGGUGAGUAACACGUGGAUAACCUACCUAUAAGAUUGGGAUAACUUCGGGAAACCGGAGCUAAUACCGGAUAAUAUAUUGAACCGCAUGGUUCAAUAGUGAAAGACGGUUUUGCUGUCACUUAUAGAUGGAUCCGCGCCGCAUUAGCUAGUUGGUAAGGUAACGGCUUACCAAGGCAACGAUGCGUAGCCGACCUGAGAGGGGAGGCGGCGGCACGGGAACGGAGCCGCGGUCCAGAGGCCGACGGGAGGGAGGAGUGGGGGAGGGGGGGAGAUGGGCGAAAGCAUGACGGAGCAAGGGCGCGUGAGAGAUGAAAGUCUUCGAGUAGUAAGACGCGGUUAUUAGGGAAGAACAAAUGGGGAAGGGACUAUGCACGUCUUGACGGGAGCGAAUAAGAAAGGCAAGGGUAACUACGGG
Molecule: ribosomal RNA, 497 nt
Filed under: uncultured bacterium
Lineage: Bacteria
Description: partial 16S ribosomal RNA
Rfam family: Bacterial small subunit ribosomal RNA
Source: RNAcentral